GCUUGAUGAUGAUACCCUUUCAGACUGAGCAAAUUGUAGUUGGUCCUACAUUUGCACAGUUGAUGCAAGCAUAUUUCAAGACGGGGCUGAGAGCAGU
This is a small nucleolar RNA of Danio rerio (zebrafish), 97 nucleotides long. Its record names the gene SNORD21. It matches the Rfam family "Small nucleolar RNA SNORD21". Rfam says of the family: U21 is a member of the C/D class of snoRNA which contain the C (UGAUGA) and D (CUGA) box motifs. U21 is encoded within an intron of the gene for ribosomal protein L5 in mammals, but within introns of the ADP ribosylation factor gene in Drosophila. NCBI's taxonomy places the organism in Eukaryota, Metazoa, Chordata, Actinopteri, Cypriniformes, Danionidae. The record is from Ensembl.